RNAcentral lists this ribosomal RNA (427 nucleotides) under uncultured bacterium. Its description in RNAcentral is "partial 16S ribosomal RNA". It matches the Rfam family "Bacterial small subunit ribosomal RNA", at positions 355 to 774 of the family's 1533-position model. The record is from RNAcentral.
UGGGGAAUAUUGCACAAUGGGCGCAAGCCUGAUGCAGCCAUGCCGCGUGUAUGAAGAAGGCCUUCGGGUUGUAAAGUACUUUCAGCGGGGAGGAAGGUGUUGAGGUUAAUAACCUCAGCAAUUGACGUUACCCGCAGAAGAAGCACCGGCUAACUCCGUGCCAGCAGCCGCGGUAAUACGGAGGGUGCAAGCGUUAAUCGGAAUUACUGGGCGUAAAGUGCACGCAGGCGGUCUGUCAAGUCGGAUGUGAAAUCCCCGGGCUCAACCUGGGAACUGCAUUCGAAACUGGCAGGCUAGAGUCUUGUAGAGGGGGGUAGAAUUCCAGGUGUAGCGGUGAAAUGCGUAGAGAUCUGGAGGAAUACCGGUGGCGAAGGCGGCCCCCUGGACAAAGACUGACGCUCAGGUGCGAAAGCGUGGGGAGCAAACA